GGGUUGUGAGGUUAAGCGACUAAGCGUACACGGUGGAUGCCCUGGCAGUCAGAGGCGAUGAAGGACGUGCUAAUCUGCGAAAAGCGUCGGUAAGGUGAUAUGAACCGUUAUAACCGGCGAUGUCCGAAUGGGGAAACCCAGUGUGAUUCGUCACACUAUCGUUAACUGAAUACAUAGGUUAACGAGGCGAACCGGGGGAACUGAAACAUCUAAGUACCCCGAGGAAAAGAAAUCAACCGAGAUUCCCCCAGUAGCGGCGAGCGAACGGGGAGCAGCCCAGAGUCUGAAUCAGCUUGUGUGUUAGUGGAACGGUCUGGAAAGUCCGACGGUACAGGGUGAUAGUCCCGUACACCAAAAUGCACAGGCUGUGAACUCGAAGAGUAGGGCGGGACACGUGGUAUCCUGUCUGAAUAUGGGGGGACCAUCCUCCAAGGCUAAAUACUCCUGACUGAC
This 453-nucleotide ribosomal RNA is filed under the name Klebsiella pneumoniae. RNAcentral describes it as "partial 23S ribosomal RNA". It matches the Rfam family "Bacterial large subunit ribosomal RNA", at positions 1 to 484 of the family's 2925-position model. The record is from RNAcentral. Lineage: Bacteria; Pseudomonadati; Pseudomonadota; Gammaproteobacteria; Enterobacterales; Enterobacteriaceae.